Molecule: ribosomal RNA, 468 nt
Filed under: uncultured bacterium
Lineage: Bacteria
Description: partial 16S ribosomal RNA
Rfam family: Bacterial small subunit ribosomal RNA
Source: RNAcentral
GAUGAACGCUGGCGGCGUGCUUAACACAUGCAAGUCGAACGGUGAAGGCGGAGCUUGCUCUGCUGGAUCAGUGGCGAACGGGUGAGUAACACGUGAGCAAUCUGCCCCUGACUCUGGGAUAAGCGCUGGAAACGGCGUCUAAUACUGGAUACGAGCUGCGAAGGCAUCUUCAGCAGCUGGAAAGAACUUCGGUCAGGGAUGAGCUCGCGGCCUAUCAGCUUGUUGGUGAGGUAACGGCUCACCAAGGCGUCGACGGGUAGCCGGCCUGAGAGGGUGAACGGGCACACUGGGGAAUCGACACGGGCCCGACUCCUUCGGGAGGCAAGAGUGGGGAAUAUUUCCCAAUGGGCCGAAGCCCUAUGCAGCCACCCCCCGUUGGGGAAGGCGGCCCUUGGGUUUUAAACCCUUUUUUACCGGGAAGGAGGGGGAGUGAACGUAACCUGCAAAAAAACCCCCGCUAAAUUCCUG